Molecule: ribosomal RNA, 319 nt
Filed under: uncultured eukaryote
Lineage: Eukaryota
Description: partial 18S ribosomal RNA
Rfam family: Eukaryotic small subunit ribosomal RNA
Source: RNAcentral
CCCUUAGAUGUUCUGGGUAGCACGCGCGCUACAAUGGUCUUCGCAAACGGAUGCAUUUUCGAAGGAGAAUGCCAAUCUUGGAAUCUAUGCCUUGGUCGGGACAGUUGCUUGCAAUUUUUCGACUCGAACCAGGAAUUCCUUGUAAUCGUGAUUCAUCACAUCACGAUGAAUACGUCCCUGCCCUUUGUACACACCGCCCGUCGCUCCUACCGAUCGAAGAGUUAGGUGAAUUGUUUUGAUCGAUAAGAUUUGACUAUGGUCAACUCUCGUUGUGAAAUUCUGUGAAUCUGACUGUUUAGAGGAAGGAAAAGUCGUAACA